This 253-nucleotide ribosomal RNA is filed under the name uncultured bacterium. RNAcentral describes it as "partial 16S ribosomal RNA". It matches the Rfam family "Bacterial small subunit ribosomal RNA", at positions 524 to 776 of the family's 1533-position model. The record is from RNAcentral.
CACGGGGGGCGCAAGCGUUGUUCGGAAUCACUGGGCGUAAAGGGCGUGUAGGCGGUCAAGUAAGUGGAAUGUGAAAGCCCCCGGCUCACCCGGGGAUCUGCAUCCCAAACUGCUUGGCUUGAGUACGGGAGAGGAUAGGGGAAUUCCUGGUGUAGCGGUGAAAUGCGUAGAUAUCAGGAGGAACACCGGUGGCGAAGGCGCCUAUCUGGCCCGAUACUGACGCUGAGGCGCGAAAGCUAGGGGAGCAAACGGG